Nothoprocta perdicaria is the source of this 500-nucleotide long non-coding RNA. RefSeq lists it as uncharacterized. The transcript is spliced from 3 exons. NCBI's taxonomy places the organism in Eukaryota, Metazoa, Chordata, Aves, Tinamiformes, Tinamidae. The record is from RefSeq and is a predicted model, not a curated record.
CACCACAGUUGUUGUGUGAGAAGUUUAUAGCCUGGCACUGCAGCCCGGAGGCUCCUGAGGUGCCCUGUGUUUGAGUGAGAAGAGACUUUGGCCGGGGCAGCUGAGCUUGAACCUGCCUACAGCUCCUGUCUGGGAGCAUCAAGGCAGGGGAGCUAAUUUAGCUGCAGCUCAGCUGGAAGCUGGAGAGCUUCCCAUGGCUGGUUCUGUACUGCGGAGAGCAUUGCCGCUCACCUGGAACAGACCCAUCAUGGAGCAACUUCAUAAAUUUGAUCUACCCGAGUGAUUUCUCUGAUUGAACAUGACAGCACAGAAACACACAGGCAGAGAAGUGGAAAUCUUAAGGACUACGUGGUUCUGAACGUGUCUCUCCACCCUCAGUUUGAAAUCCUAAUAUUAAUCUCUUUUCUCCUUAUGUGUUUCACCUUAACAUGUGUUGUUUGUGUGUGUGUUUGCUCAAGACCCACCUGAGGUAAGAUGCAGGUACAACUGGGCAGGAAUGA